GAAAUGCGAUAAGUAAUGUGAAUUGCAGAAUUCAGUGAAUCAUCGAAUCUUUGAACGCACAUUGCGCCCGCCAGUAUUCUGGCGGGCAUGCCUGUUCGAGCAUCAUUACAACCCUCAGGCCCCCGGGCCUGGCGUUGGGGAUCGGCGGAAGCCCCCUGCGGGCACAACGCCGUCCCCCAAAUACAGUGGCGGUCCCGCCGCAGCUUCCAUUGCGUAGUAGCUAACACCUCGCAACUGGAGAGCGGCGCGGCCACGCCGUAAAACACCCAACUUCUGAAUGUUGACCUCGAAUCAGGUAGAAAUACCCGCUGAACAUAAGC
RNAcentral lists this unclassified non-coding RNA (320 nucleotides) under plant metagenome. Its description in RNAcentral is "partial contains 5.8S ribosomal RNA, internal transcribed spacer 2, and large subunit ribosomal RNA". The stretch from base 1 to 105 matches the Rfam family "5.8S ribosomal RNA", at positions 50 to 154 of the family's 154-position model. The record is from RNAcentral.